This 334-nucleotide unclassified non-coding RNA is filed under the name soil metagenome. RNAcentral describes it as "partial contains 5.8S ribosomal RNA, internal transcribed spacer 2, and large subunit ribosomal RNA". The stretch from base 1 to 120 matches the Rfam family "5.8S ribosomal RNA", at positions 35 to 154 of the family's 154-position model. The record is from RNAcentral.
GAUGAAGAACGUAGCGAAAUGCGAUAAGUAAUGUGAAUUGCAGAAUUCAGUGAAUCAUCGAAUCUUUGAACGCACAUUGCGCCCGCUAGUAUUCUGGCGGGCAUGCCUGUUCGAGCGUCAUUUCAACCAUCAAGCCCUUUAGCUUGUGUUGGGGACCUGCGGCUGCCGCAGCCCCCGAAAUGCAGUGGCGGGCUCGUUGUCACACCGAGUGCAGUAAUCAUUCUUCUCUCCGGGCGUGGCGGCGGGUUCCGGCCGUAAAAUCACCAAUUUAUCAAGGUUGACCUCGGAUCAGGUAGGAAUACCCGCUGAACUUAAGCAUAUCAUAAGCGGAGGA